CGAAGAGCAGGUACUUGAUGCACUUGGUGCAGCCCUCCACUCCCAUGGCGGCGCGGGCGGCGGGCGGCCUGCGGGGCGCGGGCCGGUCCUGGGCGGCGGGCGGGCCGGCGCGGGGCCUGGCGGGUGGCCGGCAAGGGGGCCUGGCGGGCCGAGGGGCGGGGGCGCGAAGAAAGGGGCGCGGGGGCGCGGGGGCGCGGGGGCGCGUGGGGCGCUGGGCGCCGGAGGCCUGGCAGGAUGCGCGGUGGGGUCGCCGCCGUCGCCGCCGUUGCGCGCUCGCUCUCUGGCCGGGCGCGCGCCUCGCUCCGCAGUACUUAUAGGGCGCCGCGGUCCCGCCCCUCCAUAGGCCCCGCCCCGGCCAGCUCACGCCCCGCCCCCGGCCCCGCCUCCUGCCGCCAGGGCGCGCAGCCGAGGGGUAUGGGGUCGCUGCACCUACCCCCAACUUGGCGCGUUUCGGCCAGGACCUCAGGGCCCAGGUGCACCGUGCUGGGCGCGGGAGGCGUCCCCAAGCUGCUGUCGCGCUCCGAGCCCCCAAGGGGGUGGCAGCAGGGCCGCGCCUGAGGACAGGCAUGCAGCGUCUGCCCAGGAGUGCAGCCCCGGUGCCGGGAGAACAACCCAUUCCUCCCUCCCUCAAGCACCUUGGACAAUCUGGGAGGGCUCCCCAAAGGAGGUGAGCACCUUGGACAAUCCGGGAGGGCUUCCUGAAGGAGUUGAUGCCACAGUGGUUGGCUUUGCAAAGACAGCAAGCUUUGCUCACAUUGCUCUCCGGGGCUGGAACCUGGGCAGGCAUGAGGCCCCCUAGUCAGUGUUGGCCUCAAGGUCCUAGUACAGGUAACCAAUCCCUGUCUCACGGAAGGGGAGAAUUGCUGACCCAUGCUGUGGGAGUCUGCAUCUGAAAAGGUCACUGGGGCCUGAGAGGGCAGCUCCCAGAACAGUGUGAAGUGUCCAGGAGGCCAGAGACACCUAUAGGAGAACCUCCAGAUAUUGCAUCUAUUUCGUCUACAUCCUGGUUGUGUCGUGCCCCAGGGAUGCCAGCCUCACACCGUGGCUCUUCCGGAAGGUGUGGGGCCAGGCCUGCUGCACUUACUGCUUUGGGCUAAUGAUUCAGAGAGUGAAGGGUGCUUUCUCCCCAGAGGAAGGAGCGAAGGCCUUUGCAGGAGAUGACACACUGACGAAGGUUUCCCAUGCCCUCUCCAAGAAAACUGAUGGACAACGGGGCUGCAUCCUGGGCGGGGGCUUACCUGGGAACCACGUGGGACCAGGUCCGGAGAACCAUCCUCUAGCCAGCUCGUCUUGGCAAGUGUCGUCCAACCCAGUGCUAGCUGAUAGAACCUUCUGCAACGAUGGGAAUGUUCUGUACCUGGAUAACCCCCUGGCACAGAUGACUACUGGGUACUGGAAAUGUGGCCACAAGGAACCAAAUUUUUCAUUGUGUUUCAUCGUAAUUUAAAUUCACAUGGCCCUGGGUGGCCAGUAGCGCUCACAUUGGACAAAACAGCUCUAUCGUCAUCAUCUGUGCUCUACCGGUUUUCUUGGUGGUUAAUUUGUAAACUGGUUUUGGCUUCAUGCCUGCGUAAGAACUGCAAGCACUAGUAGUUUAUGCCUGGUUUUACAUUUUGUGCCUGUCGAAGUGACAUUAUAAGAAAAGACACUAUAUGGUCACUUGAGAGUCUUCGAGGAUUCUUUUUGUUUAGAAGGGAAUAGAAAAGGGUUCCAGUGUGAGGAAACAUUUCUCUGGAUGUCCUGGACACCUGCUCUCCCAUCAGCUCCCUGCUGUCCCCAGUGAUGGGGACAUUUCCCGUUAAAGGUGUGAGCUGUGUCCUCAGCAGGGGGUGGUAGGUGGAGGGAGACACUGGCUCCACUCUCAGGAAGUGGGAGGAGGGGGCAGAUCCAUGCACACUGUGUCCUUGACCACCAGCCUCAGAAGCAGGCCAUGCCCAGCCAGCAGCCAGCCUGCCUGUCCUCUUCAGCCAUGCAUCAAAUAUUUAGUGGGUGCCUGCUGUGUGUCAGGCACUGUUCCAGGCCCUGGCUGUGGGAGCCAGGCAGCAGACCCCUCCCCUGGAGGAUCUGCAACUCUGGCGGAGAUGACACGUGUCACAGCACGAUGGUCAUAUCAGUGCUGGGGAGGGACGGAAUUCCUAGGAUGCUUGCUAGAGGGUCACAGGGUUGGGGCACUCCUCAACCACGGGGCUGAGGCACUCCAAGUGCAGAGGCUUGGAAGAGCCACAGUGGAUCCAGGCCCUGAUGCCUGAGAAGGAGCCAGCUAGGCAGAGCCGGGGAGGAGCACUCCAGACAGACAGCAAUGAACCAUCCAAAAAUGAAGUGAAGAAGACAAUCUCAUUUAUAAUAUUGGCAAAAAGAACAUACCUAGAAAUAAAUGCAACAAAAGAUGCAUAAAACUUGUGUACUGAAAAAUACAAAAUAUUUUUGAAAGGAAUCAAAGAGUAUCGAAUUAAAUGGAAAGAUAUCCUGCAGUCAUGGAUCAGGAGACAUAAUGUUAAGAUGGCCAAACUCCCGAAUUCAUCUAUAGCUUCACAAUCUCUAUCAAAAUCCCAUCUGUCUUUUUACAAGCUGAUCCUCAAAUUCAUAAGGAAAUACAAGGGUUUCAGAAUAGCCAAAACAAUCUAGAAAGAGAAGAGCAAAACCGGAGGGCUCACAUUUCCUGAUUCAAACUUACUGCAAAGCUACAGUAAUCAAGACAAUGUGGUACUGGCAUAAGGAUAGACCUACAGAUCAAUGCAGUAAAGUUGAGACUCCAAGAACAAAUCCUUGCAUUUAUGGUCAAUUGAUUUUUUUAAAGACUGUUCAAGUGCAGCAGUGAGAAGGCGGGAAAGAGUAGAACGAGGUGUUCCAUCUGUAACUGACUGUGAACAAUCAAUUGAGAUAACUCACUACCUUCAGACCGGCCAUCAGUUGAUUUUUGACAAGGGUACCAAGACAAUUCAAUGGGGGAAGGAAUAGUCUUUUCAGAAAAUGGUGCUGGGACAACUAGAUAUCCAUGUGCAAAAGAAUGAAGUUGGACCCCUACCUCAUGCUGUGCACAAAAAUUAACUCAAAAUGGAUCGUAGACCUAAAUGUAAGCACUAAAAUUAUGAUAUCCUUAGGAAGGCCAGGCGCAGUGGCUCACACCUGUAAUCCCAGCAGUUUGGGAGGCCGAGGCGAGUGGAUCACCUGAGAUCAGGAGUUUGAGUCCAGCCUGGCCAACAUGGUGAAACCAUGUCUCUGCUAAAAACACAAAAAUUAGCUGGGCAUGGUGGUGGGCGCCUGUAAUCCCAGCUACUCGGGAGGCUGAGGCAGAAGAAUCGCUUGAACCCAGGAGGCAGGGGUUGCAGUGAGCUGAGAUUGUGCCGUUGCACUCCAGCUUUGGCGACAGAGAGAGACUUUGUCUCAAAAAAAAGAAAAAAAAAGAAAAGAAAAAAUAAAAUCCUUAGGAAAGAACAUAGGAAUAAAUCUUGGUGACCUUGUGUUAAACAAUGGUUUUUAAUAUACACUACCAAAAGCACAGGCAACAAAAGAAAAAAUAGAUAAAUUGGACUUGGCCAAAGCUAAAAACAUUUGUGCGUGAAAAGACACCAUCAAGGAAGUGGAAAGACAACCCAAGAAAUGACAGCAAACAUUUGUGAAUCAUCUAUUUGAUAAGGGACUAGUAUCUAAACAUGUAAAGAACUCUAACUUAUCAACAAGAAGACAAACCACCUACCUUUAAUGAUGGGCAAAGGAUUAGAAUAGAGCUUGCUCCAAAGAAGAUGUACAUAUGACCGAUAAGCUCAUGAAAAGAUGUCCCCAUCAUUAGUCAUCAGGGAAAUGCAAAUCAAAACACAGCGAGAUACCACGAUGCACCCAUCAAGAUGGCUAUAAAUAAAAGAGACAGACAAUAACAAGUGUUGGCAGAGGUAUGGAGAAAUUGGAACCCUCCUUCAUUGCUGGUGGGAAUGCAAAAUAGUGCAGCCACUUCGGAAAACAGACUGGCCGUUUCUCAAAAUGCUAAAUAUAGAGUUUCCAUAAAAAUCAGCAAUUCCAGUCCUAGAUAUACGUGUGUGUGUGUGUGUGUGUGUGUGUGUGUGUGUGUGUGUGUGUGUAUCCAAGAGAAAUGAAAGCAUAUGUCUGUAUAACAAUAUGCACAUGCAUGUUCAUAGCAGUACUGGUUUGUUUUGUUUUGUUUUGUUUUGUUUUUUGAGACAGAGUCUUGGUCUGUUGCCCAGGCUGGAGUGCAGUGGCGCGAUCUUGGCUCACUGCAACCUCUGCCCCCCGGAUUCAAGAGAUUCCCCUGCCUCAGCCUCCUGAGUAGCUGAGAUUACAGGCACGCAUGACCGUGUCUGGCUAAUUGUUGUAUUUUUAUUAGAGAUGGGGGUUUCACCAUGUUGGCCAGGCUGGUCUCAAACUCUUGGCCUCAAGUGAUCCGCCUGCCUCAUCCUCCCAAAGUGCUAGGAUUACAGGCAUGAGCAACUGCACGCAGCCAGCACUAGUUUUAAUAGCUAAAAAGUGGGAACAAUUCAAAUGUUCAUCAAUGAAUAAAUAAAUAAACAAAAUAUCGGUCUAUCCAUACAGUGGAAUAUUAUUCAGCCAUAAAAAUGAAUGAAGUACCGAUACGAGCUACAACAUGGAUGAACUUUGAGGGUAUGAUGCUGAGGGAAAGAAGCCAAACCCAAAAGACCAUUGUGAUACCAUUUUUUUCAAGUGUUUAGAAUGGGCAAAUUAAUGGAAAGUAGAUUGGUGAGUGGCUGCCUGGGGCUUCGUGGACUGGGUGGGGAGUGGCUGCUAACAGGUGCCUACGGGGUUCUGUCUUUGGGAUGUUGAAAAUGUUCUAAAAGUAGGCAGUGGUGAUGGUUGCACAAUUCUGAGACUACUCUAAAGUCACACCAACUAAGUCUACAGUUUAUGCUAAGUUUUAUGUCAUAAGAAUUUUAUCUCAAUAAAGGUAUAAAAGACCUUCCAAAGGCCAGGUGCAGUGGCUCACGCCUGUAAUCCCAGCACUUUGGGAGGCCGAGAUGGCCAGAUCAUGAGGUCAGGAGAUCAAGACCAUCAUGGCUAACAUGGUGAAACCCCGUCUCUACUAAAAAUACAAAAAAAUCAGCCUGGCACGGUGGCGGGUGCCUGUAGUCCCAGCUACUCGGGAGGCUGAGACAGGAGAAUGGCUUGAACCCAGGAGGCGGAGCUUGCAGUGAGCCGAGAUCGCGCCACUGCACUCCAGCCUGGGGGACAGAGCGAGGCUCCAUCUCAUAACAAAAAACAAACAAUCUUCCAAAAUACCAAUAAAAC
RNAcentral lists this long non-coding RNA (5256 nucleotides) under Homo sapiens (human). RNAcentral describes it as "non-protein coding CD81-AS1:8". The record is from RNAcentral. Lineage: Eukaryota; Metazoa; Chordata; Mammalia; Primates; Hominidae.